Molecule: ribosomal RNA, 1550 nt
Filed under: Enterobacter asburiae
Lineage: Bacteria; Pseudomonadati; Pseudomonadota; Gammaproteobacteria; Enterobacterales; Enterobacteriaceae
Description: bacterial SSU rRNA
Rfam family: Bacterial small subunit ribosomal RNA
Source: RNAcentral
AAAUUGAAGAGUUUGAUCAUGGCUCAGAUUGAACGCUGGCGGCAGGCCUAACACAUGCAAGUCGAGCGGUAGCACAGAGAGCUUGCUCUCGGGUGACGAGCGGCGGACGGGUGAGUAAUGUCUGGGAAACUGCCUGAUGGAGGGGGAUAACUACUGGAAACGGUAGCUAAUACCGCAUAACGUCGCAAGACCAAAGAGGGGGACCUUCGGGCCUCUUGCCAUCAGAUGUGCCCAGAUGGGAUUAGCUAGUAGGUGGGGUAACGGCUCACCUAGGCGACGAUCCCUAGCUGGUCUGAGAGGAUGACCAGCCACACUGGAACUGAGACACGGUCCAGACUCCUACGGGAGGCAGCAGUGGGGAAUAUUGCACAAUGGGCGCAAGCCUGAUGCAGCCAUGCCGCGUGUAUGAAGAAGGCCUUCGGGUUGUAAAGUACUUUCAGCGGGGAGGAAGGCGGUGAGGUUAAUAACCUCAUCGAUUGACGUUACCCGCAGAAGAAGCACCGGCUAACUCCGUGCCAGCAGCCGCGGUAAUACGGAGGGUGCAAGCGUUAAUCGGAAUUACUGGGCGUAAAGCGCACGCAGGCGGUCUGUCAAGUCGGAUGUGAAAUCCCCGGGCUCAACCUGGGAACUGCAUUCGAAACUGGCAGGCUAGAGUCUUGUAGAGGGGGGUAGAAUUCCAGGUGUAGCGGUGAAAUGCGUAGAGAUCUGGAGGAAUACCGGUGGCGAAGGCGGCCCCCUGGACAAAGACUGACGCUCAGGUGCGAAAGCGUGGGGAGCAAACAGGAUUAGAUACCCUGGUAGUCCACGCCGUAAACGAUGUCGACUUGGAGGUUGUGCCCUUGAGGCGUGGCUUCCGGAGCUAACGCGUUAAGUCGACCGCCUGGGGAGUACGGCCGCAAGGUUAAAACUCAAAUGAAUUGACGGGGGCCCGCACAAGCGGUGGAGCAUGUGGUUUAAUUCGAUGCAACGCGAAGAACCUUACCUACUCUUGACAUCCAGAGAACUUUCCAGAGAUGGAUUGGUGCCUUCGGGAACUCUGAGACAGGUGCUGCAUGGCUGUCGUCAGCUCGUGUUGUGAAAUGUUGGGUUAAGUCCCGCAACGAGCGCAACCCUUAUCCUUUGUUGCCAGCGGUUCGGCCGGGAACUCAAAGGAGACUGCCAGUGAUAAACUGGAGGAAGGUGGGGAUGACGUCAAGUCAUCAUGGCCCUUACGAGUAGGGCUACACACGUGCUACAAUGGCGCAUACAAAGAGAAGCGACCUCGCGAGAGCAAGCGGACCUCAUAAAGUGCGUCGUAGUCCGGAUUGGAGUCUGCAACUCGACUCCAUGAAGUCGGAAUCGCUAGUAAUCGUAGAUCAGAAUGCUACGGUGAAUACGUUCCCGGGCCUUGUACACACCGCCCGUCACACCAUGGGAGUGGGUUGCAAAAGAAGUAGGUAGCUUAACCUUCGGGAGGGCGCUUACCACUUUGUGAUUCAUGACUGGGGUGAAGUCGUAACAAGGUAACCGUAGGGGAACCUGCGGUUGGAUCACCUCCUUACCUUAAAGAA